CUCUCAAAGUAGCUGGAACUACAGGCAUGUUCCACCACGCCCAGGAAAUAAAAAUGAUUCCUGAAUCUGCUGGCCACUGGAGAGCUGUGAACACUUUCUCUGCCAACAAGGAUGACUAGAUUACCCAAUUAUCAAAGGCAAACAAAGACAAACUGGCUAUUCGAGUACUGCAAACCAGAUAGGAAAGGUAUUUUCUGGGAAACUCACCAUGCUUGAUGGUGAUCUCAUCCCAAAAUCUGCUACUGGAUGUAUCAGGCAGAUAAGGGUUUUGGGGUAACAAAGAAAAGAAAGGCUGAUCAUCUGAUUGGUGAAAUAAAUGAGUCUUAGGAGCAAGACUGGAGAAAACCAGGAAGGAAAGAGAGCACUUUCCUGGCAGUGAUGCAAUCACCUCACAGAACUGUGGAGCUGUAAAUGGCCUUGUAGGGAACAAUAAACCAUCUGAGAUAAUGGCCUUGA
Non-coding RNA from Macaca mulatta (Rhesus monkey), 456 nucleotides. NCBI's taxonomy places the organism in Eukaryota, Metazoa, Chordata, Mammalia, Primates, Cercopithecidae. The record is from RefSeq and is a predicted model, not a curated record.